RNAcentral lists this long non-coding RNA (683 nucleotides) under Gossypium barbadense (sea-island cotton). RNAcentral's name for it is "long non-coding RNA (GBAR_LNC005905)". Lineage: Eukaryota; Viridiplantae; Streptophyta; Magnoliopsida; Malvales; Malvaceae. The record is from RNAcentral.
CCAAGCCCAAACCUACCCAUAAACCCAAUAGGCCAACUAAAUACCCACUAAAUACCCACUACACCCUAAACCAAAACCUACCCAAAACUAACCCCAAUCUGACCCAACUAGCCCAAAAAUUUAGGGUUUUAGAAUUUGAAACCCUAAAUCACCUAUUCCACCGCCCCAGUCACAUCUCCUGCAAGUGGCCUCUGCUCCACCACCGUUUGCCUGCAGCAACAACAGAAGAAUAGACAGAUAUUAAAAGAAAAAGAAAUGUAAAAGGCUAUUUAAAAAGCCGAACCCAAAAAACCAUGGGGACAUUCGGUAUUUUUUCGGAAUGAAAAACAAUACUGGAUCUUAAAAAUCCAAAGCAAGAAUAGGAAUCCUAGCAAUAUCAGAAAGCAUAAACAGUCCAAACCGAGGAACAAAGGUUAAUAACCUAAGGUGAUCGUUGUUAUUAUUUUCGCUUUUUUAUUUUAUUUUUUUCGAAUAUAUUGACAGACACUAAUGCAUAUAUACAUAUUAUAGAUAUAUAUAUAUAACGUAGAUAAUAUAAAAAAAACUAAAAAAAAGAGACGAACUUUACCUUUUCCGGCAACCGUGCGCGGUGGCCGGCGCCGACGACGACUGUGGCGCGUGGAGGCUCUCUUGGCCGGACACUGGGUUUGUCCCAGAGAAGAAGGGAGAGCUCUCCCCUUUUU